GACGAACGCUGGCGGCGUGCUUAACACAUGCAAGUCGAACGAAGAGCGAUGGAAGCUUGCUUCUAUCAAUCUUAGUGGUGAACGGGUGAGUAACGCGUAAUCAACCUGCCCUUCAGAGGGGGACAACAGUUGGAAACGACUGCUAAUACCGCAUACGAUCUAACCUCGGCAUCGAGGAUAGAUGAAAGGUGGCCUCUACAUGUAAGCUAUCACUGAAGGAGGGGAUUGCGUCUGAUUAGCUAGUUGGAGGGGUAACGGCCCACCAAGGCGAUGAUCAGUAGCCGGUCUGAGAGGAUGAACGGCCACAUUGGGACUGAGACACGGCCCAGACUCCUACGGGAGGCAGCAGUGGGGAAUCUUCCGCAAUGGACGAAAGUCUGACGGAGCAACGCCGCGUGAGUGAUGACGGCCUUCGGGUUGUAAAGCUCUGUUAAUCGGGACGAAAGGCCUUCUUGCGAAUAGUUAGAAGGAUUGACGGUACCGGAAUAGAAAGCCACGGCUAACUACGUG
RNAcentral lists this ribosomal RNA (510 nucleotides) under uncultured bacterium. Its description in RNAcentral is "partial 16S ribosomal RNA". It matches the Rfam family "Bacterial small subunit ribosomal RNA", at positions 28 to 507 of the family's 1533-position model. The record is from RNAcentral.